RNAcentral lists this ribosomal RNA (253 nucleotides) under uncultured bacterium. Its description in RNAcentral is "partial 16S ribosomal RNA". It matches the Rfam family "Bacterial small subunit ribosomal RNA", at positions 524 to 776 of the family's 1533-position model. The record is from RNAcentral.
UACGAAGGGUGCAAGCGUUACUCGGAAUUACUGGGCGUAAAGCGUGCGUAGGCGGCCAACUAAGUCAGACGUGAAAUCCCCAGGCUCAACCUGGGAACUGCGUCUGAUACUGGAUGGCUUGAAUCCGGGAGAGGGAUGCAGAAUUCCAGGUGUAGCGGUGAAAUGCGUAGAUAUCUGGAGGAAUACCGGUGGCGAAGGCGGCAUCCUGGACCGGCAUUGACGCUGAGGAGCGAAAGCCAGGGGAGCAAACGGG